This 253-nucleotide ribosomal RNA is filed under the name uncultured bacterium. RNAcentral's name for it is "partial 16S ribosomal RNA". It matches the Rfam family "Bacterial small subunit ribosomal RNA", at positions 524 to 776 of the family's 1533-position model. The record is from RNAcentral.
UACGAAGGGGGCUAGCGUUGCUCGGAAUCACUGGGCGUAAAGCGCACGUAGGCGGCUUACUAAGUCAGGGGUGAAAUCCUGGAGCUCAACUCCAGAACUGCCUUUGAUACUGGUAAGCUCGAGUCCGGGAGAGGUGAGUGGAACUGCGAGUGUAGAGGUGAAAUUCGUAGAUAUUCGCAAGAACACCAGUGGCGAAGGCGGCUCACUGGCCCGGUACUGACGCUGAGGUGCGAAAGCGUGGGGAGUAAACAGG